This 77-nucleotide transfer RNA is filed under the name Clostridium scatologenes. Its description in RNAcentral is "tRNA-Asp (GTC) (tRNA-Asp-GTC-2-1)". It matches the Rfam family "tRNA". From Rfam's summary of the family: Transfer RNA (tRNA) molecules are approximately 80 nucleotides in length. The record is from RNAcentral. Lineage: Bacteria; Bacillati; Bacillota; Clostridia; Eubacteriales; Clostridiaceae. RNAcentral also lists the same sequence under 5 other names.
GGCCCAGUGGCUCAGCUGGUUAGAGUGCUGGCCUGUCACGCCAGAGGUCGAGGGUUCGAUCCCCUUCUGGGUCGCCA